Molecule: microRNA precursor, 97 nt
Filed under: Marmota monax (woodchuck)
Lineage: Eukaryota; Metazoa; Chordata; Mammalia; Rodentia; Sciuridae
Source: RNAcentral
CUCACAGGCUGUGCUAUGCACAAUCUGAGGGGGACACCCUCCUACAGACCAUAGUGUGAAUGGUGCCCACUCAUGUUGUGCAAUGCACAACCCGUGC